CUACCAUGCAGUCGAACGAACUCUUCGGAGUUAGUGGCGGACGGGUGAGUAACACGUGGGAACGUGCCUUUAGGUUCGGAAUAACUCAGGGAAACUUGUGCUAAUACCGAAUGUGCCCUUCGGGGGAAAGAUUUAUCGCCUUUAGAGCGGCCCGCGUCUGAUUAGCUAGUUGGUGAGGUAAAGGCUCACCAAGGCGACGAUCAGUAGCUGGUCUGAGAGGAUGAUCAGCCACAUUGGGACUGAGACACGGCCCAAACUCCUACGGGAGGCAGCAGUGGGGAAUCUUGCGCAAUGGGCGAAAGCCUGACGCAGCCAUGCCGCGUGAAUGAUGAAGGUCUUAGGAUUGUAAAAUUCUUUCACCGGGGACGAUAAUGACGGUACCCGGAGAAGAAGCCCCGGCUAACUUCGUGCCAGCAGCCGCGGUAAUACGAAGGGGGCUAGCGUUGCUCGGAAUUACUGGGCGUAAAGGGAGCGUAGGCGGACAUUUAAGUCAGGGGUGAAAUCCCGGGGCUCAACCUCGGAAUUGCCUUUGAUACUGGGUGUCUUGAGUAUGAGAGAGGUGUGUGGAACUCCGAGUGUAGAGGUGAAAUUCGUAGAUAUUCGGAAGAACACCAGUGGCGAAGGCGACACACUGGCUCAUUACUGACGCUGAGGCUCGAAAGCGUGGGGAGCAAACAGGAUUAGAUACCCUGGUAGUCCACGCCGUAAACGAUGAUUGCUAGUUGUCGGGAUGCAUGC
This 738-nucleotide ribosomal RNA is filed under the name uncultured bacterium. RNAcentral describes it as "bacterial SSU rRNA". It matches the Rfam family "Bacterial small subunit ribosomal RNA", at positions 49 to 835 of the family's 1533-position model. The record is from RNAcentral.